ACAGUGAAGCAUGGUGGUGGGCACUGUUGCCAACUUGGUGAUUUUCUCACUAAACCUCUUGACGACUUAUUUUCACAAAAGCGACUAGUGACAAAUCUCGCGACUUUUCCUGGCGUCACUGGAAACUUUUCUGGUGUUUGGUGA
This is a long non-coding RNA of Thalassophryne amazonica, 144 nucleotides long. RefSeq lists it as uncharacterized. The record is from RefSeq and is a predicted model, not a curated record. The transcript is spliced from 3 exons. NCBI's taxonomy places the organism in Eukaryota, Metazoa, Chordata, Actinopteri, Batrachoidiformes, Batrachoididae.